This 460-nucleotide ribosomal RNA is filed under the name uncultured bacterium. RNAcentral describes it as "partial 16S ribosomal RNA". It matches the Rfam family "Bacterial small subunit ribosomal RNA", at positions 338 to 795 of the family's 1533-position model. The record is from RNAcentral.
CCUACGGGGUGCAGCAGUGAGGAAUAUUGGUCAAUGGACGAGAGUCUGAACCAGCCAAGUAGCGUGAAGGAUGACUGCCCUAUGGGUUGUAAACUUCUUUUAUAUGGGAAUAAAACGUUCCACGUGUGGGAUUUUGUAUGUACCAUAUGAAUAAGGAUCGGCUAACUCCGUGCCAGCAGCCGCGGUAAUACGGAGGAUCCGAGCGUUAUCCGGAUUUAUUGGGUUUAAAGGGAGCGUAGGUGGAUUGUUAAGUCAGUUGUGAAAGUUUGCGGCUCAACCGUAAAAUUGCAGUUGAAACUGGCAGUCUUGAGUACAGUAGAGGUGGGCGGAAUUCGUGGUGUAGCGGUGAAAUGCUUAGAUAUCACGAAGAACUCCGAUUGUGAAGGCAGUUCACUGGACUGCAACUGACACUGAGGCUCGAAAGUGUGGGUAUCAAACAGGAUUAGAUACCCCAGUAGUC